AGCGAACGCUGGCGGCAGGCCUAACACAUGCAAGUCGAACGAACCUUUCGGGGUUAGUGGCGGACGGGAGAGUAACACGUGGGAACGUGCCUUUAGGUUCGGAAUAACUCAGGGAAACUUGUGCUAAUACCGAAUGUGCCCUUCGGGGGAAAGAUUUAUCGCCUUUAGAGCGGCCCGCGUCUGAUUAGCUAGUUGGUUGAGGUAAUGGCUCACCAAGGCGACGAUCAGUAGCUGGUCUGAGAGGAUGAUCAGCCACAUUGGGACUGAGACACGGCCCAAACUCCUACGGGAUGCAGCAGUGGGGAAUCUUGCGCAAUGGGCGAAAGCCUGACGCAGCCAUGCCGCGUGAAUGAUGAAGGUCUUAGGAUUGUAAAAUUCUUUCACCGGGGACGAUAAUGACGGUACCCGGAGAAGAAGCCCCGGCUAACUUCGUG
Molecule: ribosomal RNA, 434 nt
Filed under: uncultured bacterium
Lineage: Bacteria
Description: partial 16S ribosomal RNA
Rfam family: Bacterial small subunit ribosomal RNA
Source: RNAcentral